GGCCUUUCGGGGUACACGAGCGGCGAACGGGUGAGUAACACGUGGGUGAUCUGCCCUGCACUUCGGGAUAAGCCUGGGAAACUGGGUCUAAUACCGGAUAUGACCUCCUGUUGCAUGACUUGGGGUGGAAAGAUUUAUCGGUGCAGGAUGGGCCCGCGGCCUAUCAGCUUGUUGGUGGGGUAAUGGCCUACCAAGGCGACGACGGGUAGCCGACCUGAGAGGGUGACCGGCCACACUGGGACUGAGACACGGCCCAGACUCCUACGGGAGGCAGCAGUGGGGAAUAUUGCACAAUGGGCGAAAGCCUGAUGCAGCGACGCCGCGUGAGGGAUGACGGCCUUCGGGUUGUAAACCUCUUUCAGCAGGGACGAAGCGCAAGUGACGGUACCUGCAGAAGAAGCACCGGCUAACUACGUGCCAGCAGCCGCGGUAAUACGUAGGGUGCAAGCGUUGUCCGGAAUUACUGGGCGUAAAGAGUUCGUAGGCGGUUUGUCGCGUCGUUUGUGAAAACCACCAGCUCAACUGCUGGCUUGCAGGCGAUACGGGCAGACUUGAGUACUGCAGGGGAGACUGGAAUUCCUGGUGUAGCGGUGAAAUGCGCAGAUAUCAGGAGGAACACCGGUGGCGAAGGCGGGUCUCUGGGCAGUAACUGACGCUGAGGAACGAAAGCGUGGGUAGCGAACAGGAUUAGAUACCCUGGUAGUCCACGCCGUAAACGGUGGGCGCUAGGUGUGGGUUCCUUCCACGGAAUCCGUGCCGUAGCUAACGCAUUAAGCGCCCCGCCUGGGGAGUACGGCCGCAAGGCUAAAACUCAAA
This 816-nucleotide ribosomal RNA is filed under the name Rhodococcus erythropolis. Its description in RNAcentral is "bacterial SSU rRNA". It matches the Rfam family "Bacterial small subunit ribosomal RNA", at positions 74 to 905 of the family's 1533-position model. Lineage: Bacteria; Bacillati; Actinomycetota; Actinomycetes; Mycobacteriales; Nocardiaceae. The record is from RNAcentral.